UGUUAAAAAUUUCAUCUAUUUUUACUAUUAAAAAUUGGUAUGAUUAAUAAAAUAAACAGAAAAUGACACAUGUUGUGCCACGUGUAUCUUAUGCUGACGUACAUGGAUCAGUUUUUAACAAUAAAAAUGCAUGUACUUUUUAAUA
Gossypium hirsutum (cotton) is the source of this 145-nucleotide non-coding RNA. The record is from Rfam. NCBI's taxonomy places the organism in Eukaryota, Viridiplantae, Streptophyta, Magnoliopsida, Malvales, Malvaceae.